CUAACCUAUUCAUUCGUGUUCUUUCCUUAAAACCCUAUUCUUUUCUUCGAAACUUUAGCCGUCAAACACUUUAAGACCAUCUGAGACAUAUCGCUCACCACUUCUUUCAUUCGUUAGAUUUCCGCUAUAAUCUGAAAACUUCUUCGACGAUUCAUCAUUAUUCAUCGUUCCCUCAAAUCCCUACGUGUUAUAAUCGUUAACGACCCGUCGACUGUUCGUACUUCAGAGGCGAACCAGAGUUAGGUGCUUGUCAGGAUCACGUGGAUUUAGCAAGCAGUUUAUGAUUUGAGCUUUGGUCGAUCUCCGUUUCUUCAUUCUCGGAGGUUUUUAUUUUAUUUUCAGAAUAAAAGAGUCGAACUGUUUUAAACUCUUAGACCGCAGUAGUAGUAUCAG
Molecule: long non-coding RNA, 393 nt
Organism: Mercurialis annua (annual mercury)
Lineage: Eukaryota; Viridiplantae; Streptophyta; Magnoliopsida; Malpighiales; Euphorbiaceae
Exons: 4
Source: RefSeq, a predicted model, not a curated record